CCUACGGGAGGCAGCAGUGGGGAAUAUUGCACAAUGGGGGAAACCCUGAUGCAGCGACGCCGCGUGAGUGAAGAAGGAAUUCGUUAUGGAAAGCUCUAUCAGCAGGGAAGAAAAUGACGGUACCUGAGUAAGAAGCCGCGGCUAACUACGUGCCAGCAGCCGCGGUAAUACGUAGGGGGCAAGCGUUAUCCGGAUGUACUGGGUGUAAAGGGAGCGUAGAGGGCAGUGCAAGUCUGGAGUGAAAGGCGGGGGGUCAACCCCCGGACUGCUCUGGAAACUGUACGGCUGGAGUGCAGGAGAGGUACGUGGAAUUCCUAGUGUAGCGGUGAAAUGCGUAGAUAUUAGGAGGAACACCAGUGGCGAAGGCGGCUUACUGGACUGUAACUGACGUUGAGGCUCGAAAGCGUGGGGAGCAAACAGGAUUAGAUACCCUAGUAGUC
RNAcentral lists this ribosomal RNA (440 nucleotides) under uncultured bacterium. Its description in RNAcentral is "partial 16S ribosomal RNA". It matches the Rfam family "Bacterial small subunit ribosomal RNA", at positions 338 to 795 of the family's 1533-position model. The record is from RNAcentral.